This 70-nucleotide ribosomal RNA is filed under the name Impatiens rosea. RNAcentral describes it as "partial 18S ribosomal RNA". Lineage: Eukaryota; Viridiplantae; Streptophyta; Magnoliopsida; Ericales; Balsaminaceae. The record is from RNAcentral.
UUUCAUUUCCUCUUUUGGAAAAGAAAAAUGUAACAAGGUUUCCGUAGGUGAACCUGCGGAAGGAUCAUUG